Scylla paramamosain (green mud crab) is the source of this 5741-nucleotide long non-coding RNA. RefSeq lists it as uncharacterized. The record is from RefSeq and is a predicted model, not a curated record. The transcript is spliced from 3 exons. NCBI's taxonomy places the organism in Eukaryota, Metazoa, Arthropoda, Malacostraca, Decapoda, Portunidae.
GUGGGGGGGGGGCAGGCAGGCAGGCAGGCAGGCAGGCAGGCCUUACAUAAUUAAGCAUUCUGUAAGUGAAAGAAACUCAAAUUAAUCAGUAAACACUAAUUUUCUAUGAACUUUUUAACAUUUUUUAUCAUUAUUAAUACAGCUGCUUUUGUUUCAUUUACACUAAAUAAAUAUGCUCUUUUCUCUAGAUUAUAUUAUAUAUAUUAAAAAAUUGAAUGGAAUAUAGAUACAUAAAAACAUUAAUAUAAAUAUCUCAGGCUGGCCAUGGGCCUCCACUGACCUCAAGGUGGUGUGUCACACCAACACUUUUUCCGUCAACUUUUUCCAUCGUUUUUCUGAAAAUCGUGGAUAUCUUGGCUGCGGCCUGUCGCACACAAAUGGUGUUUCAUCUGAAACUUUCCAUUGGCACAGCCCAAGGAGUGCAAACAAACAUGGAGUCCACACUGCAGCAAAGAUACGCUACUCUGAAACUAAUACUGUUUACUGUGAGACACAGUAUUGGAGGGCACAGGUGACAGUGUUGUGAGCCGCUCUUUUCAGGCCUUUCUUCAUACAAGAUUCAUCCUUGUGGUCCCAGAGGCACUUAUGGCUCCUUAUGCUUUCCACAAGGAUCUCCUCUGAACGGCGUGUCCAACUUGGAUGUGGUUUUCCUUCCAUGACGAAGCGUAGAGGUGGUAAUAACGUUCUGUGAGACAGGUUGAAGCCACACAGAAAGUCUUGGUCUUGGUCUUGGAAAUAUAAACAAAGGCGGAAAUUUGCAGGAGGAAACAAUCCUGAUCGUCUGACAAAUUCAUGCGAUAAGUUCAUGUGGAACGAUGAAAAACUGACGGAAAAAGUGCUAGUAUGACACCACCUUAAAUCCACCCCUGGAUUUGUGAGUUAAUUUUUUUUUCUUUUUUUUUCUUACUUGAGGGGCAUUGGCUUUGGGAGGGAAAAAAAAAAAGACCCACUUAGGUGCCAUUCCCUUAAGACCAAAAGGAUCAUCCAAAAUUGGAGGGUAAGUGCCUUGAAACUUUCCUCUUGAAAGAGUUCUAGUCAUAAGAAGGAGGAAAUAUAGAAGUAGGCAGAGUGUCCCAGAGUCUACCAAAAACUAACUGACUGUUAGGCUAAACUGUGUAAAAUACUGAUGUGACUACCGUCCUCUUUUUCUGUUUUUGCUGCUUCUCUGGAGUGAGGGGCUGGCACCAUGCACAAGUCUUCUUUGGUUGUGUCUGUCCCUUGCAUCUUCUUCUGUGACUCCCAUCCUUAGCAGCUCUAGCACAAUUCCAUCCUUCCAUCUCACUCACUCUUUACCUUGAUCUUCCUUCAACUGGCUUUCUCCAGGCCCUUUUGAUUAGUCCUUUAUCAAGAUUGCCUCCAAUAACCACCUAGGAUGUGAACAAUCUCAUAUCACCACAUCAGUCUGGCUAGAUUAUAACGUGCCUUCUCUUCUUCCCUGGGAGCAGCAAACCUGUGUGGGCUCCCAGACAGGUGAGUGCCGUGUGCUGAGAGAGGCAUGGCAGAAAGUGGUGCUGAGGUCCCCAGAUAACUUAGUGAACUCCUACACUGAGGGACUGGAGAAGGUCUUGAAUGACUCCUCCAGAAUCAAGGAACUGCCAGUCCAGUACAUCACAGGAGGCAUUGCUAUUGGGCUGCAAAAAAAAUUCACCUUUAGGAAGUUAUUUGACUGCAGCCUUCAGAAGAGGCAGGAGUCAAGCCUGAUGAACAAGCUGAGGUCCAAUUGGCUAUCAGCAGGAACUUCAAUGUGUGGCAGGAAGACUAAAUUCACAGCCAGCCUCUCUGAUGUGGCUGCAAUCUUCAUCCUCUUGAUGGGUGGUGCAGCAUUUAGCUGUCUGCUGCUGCUGCUGCUGCUGCUGCUGCUGGAGUAUGCAGUGGAUAAUGAUGCAUGUGUAAAACCAUGGCCCAUAUUCUGAAGCACUCUGCUCUCUCACUAUGACCAUUUUCAGAGUCCACAUAGAUGAUUAGCUGGGUUCUCAAGAAAGAUUUCUCCUGUUGAUAAAUUUGAAAUCUUGUUAAUUUGGCAUUAGACCUGCAUAAGUACCUCAACACACAUGUAACUUCAUCCAGAGCCUUUUAAAAGCAGUGGAAGUGAGGUUUAGUAGUGUUUCAGAACAUUACCCAACAUACCUAAAACUCAAAAGCAUAUGAACCGAGUGACAAUCUCACACAAGGAGGCCAAGGCAAAGUGCAUAACAUAACUUAAGAAUUGAAAGUCUCAUAUAUCCUGCCAUGUACAUAAGAGUAUAAUGGAAGCUGCAAGACUACACAAGGCAGGCAGUCCCUCUAUAAAGCAUAUUAACCACACUUACAGAUACAUGCAAGACAAAAGGUGGCAGACAAUAAGUUCUUGGGGUUUGCUGACCUGAAGGAACUGCAGAAAAUAACAAGAAACAAGACACCUACACUUUUUUUUUUCUGUACGAGGGACACUGGCCAGGGGCAAAAAAAAAAAAAAAAAAAAAAAAAAAAAAAAGUGUCCGAAGCAGUAGUCAAAAAUUGAAGGAUAAGUGUCUUGAAACCCCUCUAUUGAAGGAGUUCAAGUCAUAGGAAAAUGGAAAUACAGAAGCAGGUAGGGAGUUCCAGUUUACCAGAGAAAGGGAUGAAUGAUUGAGAAUACUGGUUAACAUUUGCAUUAGAAAGGUGGACAGAACAGGAUUGAGAGAAAGAAGAAAGUCUUGUGCAGCGAGGCCACAGGAGGAGGGAAGGCAUGCAGUUAGCAAGAUCAGAAGAGCAGUUAGUAUGAAAAUAGUGGUAGAAGACAGCUAGAGAUGCAACAUUGCACUGAUGAGAGAGAGGCUGAAGACAGUCAGUUAGAGGAGAGAAGUUGAUGAGACAAAAAGCUUUUGAUUCCACCCUGUCUAAAAGAGCAGUAUGAGUGGGACCCCCCCCCCCCCAGACAUGUGAAGUAUACUCCAUACAUGGACGGAUAAGGCCCUUGUACAGAGGUAGCAGCUGGGGGGGUGAGAAAAACUGGCGGAGACAUUUCAGAACACGUAACUUCAUAGAAGCUGUUUUAGCUAGAGAUGAGAUGUGAAGUUUCCAGUUCAGAUUAUACGUAAAGGACAGACUGAGGAUGUUCAGUGUAAAAGAGGGGGACAGUUGAGUGUCACUGAAGAAGGGAUAGUUGUCUGGAAGGUUGUGUUGAGUUGAUAGAUAGAGGAUUUGAGUUUUUGAGGCAUUGAAUAAUAUCAAAUUUGCUCUGCCCCAAUCAGAAAUUUUAGAAAGCUCAGAAGUCAGGCAUUCUGUGGCUUCCCUGAAUGAAAUGUUUACUUCCUGAAGUGUUGGACGUCUAUGAAAAGAUGUGGAAAAGUGCAGGGUGGUAUCAUCAGCAUAGGAGUGGACAGGACAAGAAGCCUGGUUUAGAAAGUCAUUGAUGGAUAAUAAAAAGAGAGUGGGUGACAGGACAGAACCCUGUUAAUAGAUUUAGCAGAAGGAAUGGCCUAAGUUAAUGCUUAAGACGUUUUGAAAAAGGAAAAAAGGUGACUGGGACGUGAGAUGUGAAUGCAAGUGAAUGGCAACGUGGGGAAAAAAAUAUAAAAUACCGUGAGCUGCUCUUUGCAAACACUUUAAAAAAGAAAAAAAAUUAUUUACCAUUCUACUGGAAAAGAAAAUACAAGACUAUAAAAGAAUGACUGAUUACAUGGCAGUGUGUGUGUGUGUGUGUGUGUGUGUGUGUGUGUGUGUGUAUGGAAAAGGCUUCAGAACUUAAUUUUCAAGAACAUUUUGAAAAGUUAUUGAAUCCAUCUAGUGAGCAACCGAUUGCCGAUAGUGUGUUAGAUGUUGAUGAUUUGGAAAAUAUGCCAUAUAUACCAAUUUUAGACGAUCCUUUUUCUAUGACUGAACUUGACGAUGCACUGAAUGUUACGAAGAACAAAAGUUAUAUAGGAUUAUGCCCGGCCAUGAUUAAGGUGUUUGAUGUAACAUGGAAGUUAUUUAUCUUGAAUGUGUUUAAUGUAGUGUUCACUCAAAUAUGUUACCCCCUGUUAUGGUGUUACAACAAGCUAAUUGUAUUAUUUAAGUCAGGUAAUCGUAUGAUUUGUGGUAAUUAUAGAGGAAUCACUAUAAUGGAUACUCUAGCUAAAGUUUAUGACACUAUGAUAUUGAAUAGAUUGAAAUUAUGGUGGAACAUCGACAAGUGUCAAGCGGGAGCACAAAAACAGAGAGGCUGUGUUGAACAGAUUACUUCUUUGAGGUUACUCUGUGACUAUGUUAUGUACAAGAAGAGAAAACUGUAUGUCCUGUUUAUAGAUUUUAGUAAGGCAUACGAUCGGGUCCCCAGAGGAAAACUUAUAGAUGCUUUAAAAGAGCGUGGAUGUGGUAAGGUAAUGAUUAGAGCCAUUAAAGCUAUGUAUACCUGUACUAGAAAUAUUAUGAAAUCUGCAAUCAUUGAAUCAUCUGUUGGUGUUCGUCAAGGGGCCCCGACCAGUUGUCUGCUUUUUACUUUGUAUAUUGACCAUAUGGUAAAGAUGCUGAAAAACGAAAUAGCAGCAGAUGAUUUCUUAGGAAGUUUACAUACAAUGCUGUUAAUGGAUGACGCAGUGAUCGUUGCAACAAGUAGAGAAAUGUGUGAAAAGAAAAUGAACAUCGUGUUACAUUAUUGUAGUGAAUACGGAAUGCUUAUCAAUGAGAAGAAAACAAAAUUUUUUGUGGUAAACGGUGAUGAUAGAGACAAACAUGACUUAAAGGUGGGUGAGGUGGUAGUGAACUAUGCUGCCAGGUACUUGUACCUCGGUGCCUGGUUCACAGACACUGCCGGAAUGGACGAUGUACUUAACAUGCACCAAACAAUGAGUGAAGCGACACUAAACAAAUUUUCUAUUUUUUGUGCAGCAAAUACAUUAAUGCCAUUUAUAUUGAAGAAAAAGGUUUUUGAUGCUGCCGUGACGUCAGCCUUACUGUACAGUUGUGAGUCGUGGCUGACAAACAAGACUAAGAACUUAGAAAGACAAUACAACAGUUUAGUAAAGUGUUUAUUAGGUUUGAGAAAAAAUACCAGCAUAAAUUUAUGUAUGGUUGAAAGCGGCAUUUUACCUGUAAUAGAAUUAGUAAAGUGAAGGAGGAAAAACUUCUUAAAAUCUAAGUUGGAGGUCAUAGAUAUGGAACAACCUUUUUAUAUUGUGUAUGACCUUUGCAGGAGAGAAAACACACCUGGAUAUAGAUUCCUUAAUAGAGAAAUAUCCCUGAUAUCAGAUAAUGACCCCAUGGAAAAAUUGAGAAAUAUUUUGAGGAACACACCGAACAGUGCCACUAAGAUCUGGACAUAUGUGAAUGACUUUAACCCGACACUGACAGUUCACAAUAUUUAUAAGACUGAUAAGUAUGUGCCCGAUUACCAGCGAGAGGCAUUCACAAGACUGAGAUUAAUGUCACACAAUCUAAGAAUUGAAACAGGCAGGUGGAGUCGAACGGCAACUGAGCAGAGAGUAUGUUUGUGCGACGGUGUUCAUGUUCAAACCGAAAAACAUGUGUUGUUAGAGUGCACAAUGACUGCUGAUCUACGUAAUAGUUAUCAAAUGCUCAGAUUUGGCGAUAUAAAUGACAUAAUGGAAGAGAAUAUCUAUAUACAGGAAGUGUGUUGCUAUAUUUUUGAAGUACUGAGUAUAUACGUAUAAUAUGUAAGAAUCACCUCUACAUCAAAUGCAUGUUUGUUACUUUUCAUGGACAAAAGUACUUGUACAAUUAUUUCUUCUUCGUUUAUUUUGUAAAAGGAUUCUUUUGUCAAUAAACUACUAACUAACUAA